This 490-nucleotide ribosomal RNA is filed under the name uncultured bacterium. RNAcentral describes it as "partial 16S ribosomal RNA". It matches the Rfam family "Bacterial small subunit ribosomal RNA", at positions 30 to 507 of the family's 1533-position model. The record is from RNAcentral.
AUUGAACGCUGGCGGCAGGCCUAACACAUGCAAGUCGAACGGUAACAGGAAACAGCUUGCUGUUUCGCUGACGAGUGGCGGACGGGUGAGUAAUGUCUGGGAAACUGCCUGAUGGAGGGGGAUAACUACUGGAAACGGUAGCUAAUACCGCAUAACGUCGCAAGACCAAAGAGGGGGACCUUCGGGCCUCUUGCCAUCGGAUGUGCCCAGAUGGGAUUAGCUAGUAGGUGGGGUAACGGCUCACCUAGGCGACGAUCCCUAGCUGGUCUGAGAGGAUGACCAGCCACACUGGAACUGAGACACGGUCCAGACUCCUACGGGAGGCAGCAGUGGGGAAUAUUGCACAAUGGGCGCAAGCCUGAUGCAGCCAUGCCGCGUGUAUGAAGAAGGCCUUCGGGUUGUAAAGUACUUUCACCGGGGAUGAAGGGAGUAAAGUUAAUACCUUUGCUCAUUGACGUUACCCGCAGAAGAAGCACCGGCUAACUCCGUG